RNAcentral lists this ribosomal RNA (150 nucleotides) under Otidea flavidobrunneola. RNAcentral describes it as "5.8S ribosomal RNA". It matches the Rfam family "5.8S ribosomal RNA". Rfam says of the family: 5.8S ribosomal RNA (5.8S rRNA) is a component of the large subunit of the eukaryotic ribosome. It is transcribed by RNA polymerase I as part of the 45S precursor that also contains 18S and 28S rRNA. Lineage: Eukaryota; Fungi; Ascomycota; Pezizomycetes; Pezizales; Pyronemataceae. The record is from RNAcentral.
ACUUUCAACAACGGAUCUCUUGGUUCUCGCAUCGAUGAAGAACGCAGCGAAAUGCGAUAAGUAGUGUGAAUUGCAGAAUUCAGUGAAUCAUCGAAUCUUUGAACGCACAUUGCGCCUUCCGGUACUCCGGGAGGCAUGCCUGUUCGAGCG